AGUGAACGCUGGCGGUAGGCCUAACACAUGCAAGUCGAACGGCAGCACAGUAAGAGCUUGCUCUUACGGGUGGCGAGUGGCGGACGGGUGAGGAAUACAUCGGAAUCUACUUUUUCGUGGGGGAUAACGUAGGGAAACUUACGCUAAUACCGCAUACGACCUACGGGUGAAAGCAGGGGAUCUUCGGACCUUGCGCGAUUGAAUGAGCCGAUGUCGGAUUAGCUAGUUGGCGGGGUAAAGGCCCACCAAGGCGACGAUCCGUAGCUGGUCUGAGAGGAUGAGCAGCCACACUGGAACUGAGACACUGUCCAAACGCCUAAGGGGGAAAGCAAGGGGGAAUAUUGGAAAAUGGGGGAAAGCCUGAUCCAGCCAUACCGCGUGGGUGAAGAAGGCCUUCGGGUUGUAAAGACCUUUUGUUGGGAAAGAAAAGCAGCAGGUUAUUGCAGCGCUGUUGUGACGGUACCCAAAGAAUAAGCACCGGCUAACUUCGUG
Molecule: ribosomal RNA, 492 nt
Filed under: uncultured bacterium
Lineage: Bacteria
Description: partial 16S ribosomal RNA
Rfam family: Bacterial small subunit ribosomal RNA
Source: RNAcentral